RNAcentral lists this ribosomal RNA (776 nucleotides) under uncultured Neocallimastigales. RNAcentral describes it as "partial large subunit ribosomal RNA". It matches the Rfam family "Eukaryotic large subunit ribosomal RNA", at positions 23 to 634 of the family's 3401-position model. The record is from RNAcentral. Lineage: Eukaryota; Fungi; Neocallimastigomycota; Neocallimastigomycetes; Neocallimastigales.
AGAGAGAGACAUGCGCGCAUAUCAAUAAGCGGAGGAAAAGAAACUAACUAGGAUUCCCUCAGUAACGGCGAGUGAAGCGGGAAGAGCUCAAAUUUGAAAUCUUCAAGGUUCUACCUUGACGAAUUGUAGUUUAAAGAAGUGUUUUCUGUUGGAGUUUUGGUAAAAGUUCUUUGGAAUAGGACAUCAUAGAGGGUGAGAAUCCCGUAUUUGACCAUUUACUUUCCAACUUUGUGAUACACUUUCAAAGAGUCGGAUUGUUUGGGAAUGCAGUCCAAAAUGGGUGGUAAAUUUCAUCUAAAGCUAAACAUUGGCGAGAGACCGAUAGCGAACAAGUACCGUGAGGGAAAGAUGAAAAGAACUUUGAAAAGAGAGUUAAACAGUACGUGAAAUUGUCAAAAGGGAAGCGUUUGACACCAGUGUUGUUUUCUCGAAAGUCAAUUAAAAAAGGCAGGAUUUUGUGUUGUAUUGACUUUAUCAGCUUUCUGCACUCUUUUCUUGUCUUUUUUAAUGCACUUUUCGUUUAACAAGUCAACAUCAAUUUCUUUUGUUGUAAAAGGGUCAUUGGAAGGUGGCUUUCUUUUCGGAGAAAGUGUUUAUAGCCUUUGGCCUCUGCAAUCGGAGAGAUUGAGGUCUGCAGCGUAGAUCCUUCGGGGUUAGAUACAUUUGUGCUAAGUUAUAGCCUUUCAUAGACAACUUGUUGACUAUGAUCAGUCAUGUAGCUUACUCGCUUAUGCUAUUUUACCUACGCUUAGGAUGUUGAUGUGAUACUGCGAGCA